CAAACUCAGUUUGCAGGAAGGAGCAUAGGAGAAUAAAGGAUGGAACAAAGAAGAAAAAGAACAGCAAGUUACUCUGAGUAUUGUGGAAACAAACUGAAAUUAGAGUGAGAGAGAGAGAGAAAAAAAAAGAAGGUCCGAGCAAUCUCAGAUAUAUGAGAGGCCAAGAUGGGAAGAUCACUUGGGUAAGACUGGGAAGAUUGAGUCUGCAGUGAGUCACAGUCGCAUCAUUCUGCUGGAUUUGAAUGGUACUGCUUCUGGCCCAAGUUGUCUGGGCAACCUUAGACAUGGUCUUUUUGAUUGGAGAAUGCAGAUGUAUGCAGCAACAGGGUGUCCAUCGCGCUUCCUUCACUGCCUUGAUCAUGUCGGGGUCACCACCUGCGGGGGUUUGUCCUGCAGACCCUGACUCAACGACGGAUGAAUAAUGUACACUGACACAGAUCUUAUGCUUGUCAGUCCUGCUGAGCAUCCAGGCCACUUACAGACUCCAAGAAGAGUCCUGUCAGCCACGGCUCUGACUUGUUGGCCCUCCCGGCAUUUAUUUAGCACACAUUUAAUGACAGAAGUCUCAGGUAAACACCACUAGAAGGCUGGAAACACUCUUUUUGUAGAACAUACAAAUGGACAUUUCUAAGCACAUUGAGGCCUAUAAUGAAAAAUCAAAUAUCCCACAAUGAAAACUAGAAGGAAGCUAUCUGUGAUAAUGCUUUGUGGUGUAUGGAUUCAUCUCACUGACUGAAACCUGAGUUUUGAUUCACCAGGUUGGAAACUCUUUCUGCAGAAUCUGCAAAGAAAUAUUUCUGAGCCCAUUGAGGCCUACAGUGGAAAACUGAAUAUUCUGUGAUAAAACUAGAAACACCCUAUCUGUGAAAAUGCUUUGUGAUGUGUGGAUUUUUCUCAUCGAAUGGAACCUCUGUUUUGACUCACAAGGGUGAAACACUAUUUUAGUAGAAUCUAGGAAGAAACAUAUCUGAGCCCAUUUAUGCCUACAGUGAGAAACUGAAUACCCUGCAAUAAAAAGUAGACAGAAGCUAUUUGUAAAAAUGCUUUGUGAUGUGUGGAUUCAGUGUUAAACUUUUAUUUUGAUUCCACAGUUUUGACACCCUAUUUGUAGAAUAUAUGAAUGAACAUUUCUCAGCCCAUUGAGGCCUAUCAUGUGAAACCAAAUAUUUUAUAAUAAAAACUGGAAACAAGUGAUCUGUUAAAAUGUUUUUUAGUGUGUGAAUUUGUUUCACAAAGAUAAAUCUUUGCAUGGAUUCAACAGGUUGGAAACAUUAUUGUA
RNAcentral lists this long non-coding RNA (1279 nucleotides) under Homo sapiens (human). RNAcentral describes it as "non-protein coding LINC00662:66". The record is from RNAcentral. Lineage: Eukaryota; Metazoa; Chordata; Mammalia; Primates; Hominidae.